CCGCAGAAAGUUUAAAUGAUUUGCCCAGAGACGCUCUUGGAGUAAGUAGACGGCUGAGGCAGAAUUUGAAUUCAGGACCGCUGAGCCCAAAUCAUUUCUCCUUCGAACAUACCAGCUGAUUAUUAAAGCCGAUCGAACACUAUUGUUGUUCAUCCUACAUUCUUGAGAGACAGGAGGGUGACGCCUUGACUUGCCAGUGAAUUGAGUUUAAGGGAGGCAGAGCUUUUUGCACAGUCCUUGGCCCGGCUCUCCCAUUUGAAUAUAGAAUGUUGAAGCUCUGAGGCCUCUUUGGCAUGUUAAUGACAAGAAAGAGACGACAUUGGUCAGAGAGCCAGAGGUGAUACAACUUAAGACCCCCCCACACACACUUAAAAGGUGCCUCAAGGACAUCGGAGAAAUCGAUGGUGGGAUUGGAUGUUCUGAAGGCAGAAAAGAACUUCUUGGGUUACAAUCCCUAGAAUGAAUAUGGGGAUUGGUGUGGGGAAUGGGGAGAGCAAGAUGACAAUAAUGUGAGUGAUAAGAAUUCUGGGGCUUUUGAUGUUGAUUUAGGAGAGGGAUGGAGGGAAUUCUGGAGAAAGAGUCAACAUGGACAUUAAAACUUAGAUGUUAAAAUGGUGGCAGAAGAACCAAGGCUUAUUUACACCCCACCUCCCCCACCCCCUGACAGUUGUGGCUAAGCUAUAUCCAAUAAACUGAGAAAAAAAAUGGUGAAGUGCUUCA
Molecule: long non-coding RNA, 720 nt
Filed under: Phascolarctos cinereus (koala)
Lineage: Eukaryota; Metazoa; Chordata; Mammalia; Diprotodontia; Phascolarctidae
Description: lncRNA (ENSPCIG00000020511.2)
Source: RNAcentral